This 1386-nucleotide ribosomal RNA is filed under the name Enterococcus durans. Its description in RNAcentral is "bacterial SSU rRNA". It matches the Rfam family "Bacterial small subunit ribosomal RNA", at positions 71 to 1444 of the family's 1533-position model. Lineage: Bacteria; Bacillati; Bacillota; Bacilli; Lactobacillales; Enterococcaceae. The record is from RNAcentral.
CUUGCUCCACCGGAAAAAGAAGAGUGGCGAACGGGUGAGUAACACGUGGGUAACCUGCCCAUCAGAAGGGGAUAACACUUGGAAACAGGUGCUAAUACCGUAUAACAAUCGAAACCGCAUGGUUUUGAUUUGAAAGGCGCUUUCGGGUGUCGCUGAUGGAUGGACCCGCGGUGCAUUAGCUAGUUGGUGAGGUAACGGCUCACCAAGGCCACGAUGCAUAGCCGACCUGAGAGGGUGAUCGGCCACAUUGGGACUGAGACACGGCCCAAACUCCUACGGGAGGCAGCAGUAGGGAAUCUUCGGCAAUGGACGAAAGUCUGACCGAGCAACGCCGCGUGAGUGAAGAAGGUUUUCGGAUCGUAAAACUCUGUUGUUAGAGAAGAACAAGGAUGAGAGUAACUGUUCAUCCCUUGACGGUAUCUAACCAGAAAGCCACGGCUAACUACGUGCCAGCAGCCGCGGUAAUACGUAGGUGGCAAGCGUUGUCCGGAUUUAUUGGGCGUAAAGCGAGCGCAGGCGGUUUCUUAAGUCUGAUGUGAAAGCCCCCGGCUCAACCGGGGAGGGUCAUUGGAAACUGGGAGACUUGAGUGCAGAAGAGGAGAGUGGAAUUCCAUGUGUAGCGGUGAAAUGCGUAGAUAUAUGGAGGAACACCAGUGGCGAAGGCGGCUCUCUGGUCUGUAACUGACGCUGAGGCUCGAAAGCGUGGGGAGCAAACAGGAUUAGAUACCCUGGUAGUCCACGCCGUAAACGAUGAGUGCUAAGUGUUGGAGGGUUUCCGCCCUUCAGUGCUGCAGCUAACGCAUUAAGCACUCCGCCUGGGGAGUACGACCGCAAGGUUGAAACUCAAAGGAAUUGACGGGGGCCCGCACAAGCGGUGGAGCAUGUGGUUUAAUUCGAAGCAACGCGAAGAACCUUACCAGGUCUUGACAUCCUUUGACCACUCUAGAGAUAGAGCUUCCCCUUCGGGGGCAAAGUGACAGGUGGUGCAUGGUUGUCGUCAGCUCGUGUCGUGAGAUGUUGGGUUAAGUCCCGCAACGAGCGCAACCCUUAUUGUUAGUUGCCAUCAUUCAGUUGGGCACUCUAGCAAGACUGCCGGUGACAAACCGGAGGAAGGUGGGGAUGACGUCAAAUCAUCAUGCCCCUUAUGACCUGGGCUACACACGUGCUACAAUGGGAAGUACAACGAGUCGCGAAGUCGCGAGGCUAAGCUAAUCUCUUAAAGCUUCUCUCAGUUCGGAUUGUAGGCUGCAACUCGCCUACAUGAAGCCGGAAUCGCUAGUAAUCGCGGAUCAGCACGCCGCGGUGAAUACGUUCCCGGGCCUUGUACACACCGCCCGUCACACCACGAGAGUUUGUAACACCCGAAGUCGGUGAGGUAACCUUUGA